Caenorhabditis elegans is the source of this 213-nucleotide non-coding RNA. The record is from Ensembl. NCBI's taxonomy places the organism in Eukaryota, Metazoa, Nematoda, Chromadorea, Rhabditida, Rhabditidae.
UGGUGAUGGAAAACUUUUUGAUACACAUAUUCGGCCAAAAGGCUUGUAAACAAAAGCGGUUGAUGAUUGAGAGCUAGUUGUGGUUUGAGAUGAGAUGAAGAGUGUUGUAUGUAUGCUUUUAAAAAAUUGAGGCUUUCCGGAUGAUGAGGAAGAAGGAGAAGAAGAAGGAGGGGAUCCAGAUGAGAAGAAGAAGAAGGACGAUGAUGACGAUGU